AUGAAGAAGACUGAAAUAUUCUUGGUGCUGGUUUUUGAGGCAUUGGUUUCUUUAUUUUUUAUUUAUUUAUUAUUGCUUGUUUCUAGCAAGAAGAUCCCUGGGACCAAGAUUUCAGAAGACUGCUUUCCAAACUGUGGCGGCUGCAAAAUAGGAGGCUCAGAAAAGCAGGAGCUGAUACAGAAAGCUGGUGCGUGUUACUGGCCGGCAGCUGUGGUUCACAUCAGGAGCGGAUCCAUUUCUGGGGUUAGAAACAAAACUGUGAGUGCAGCCCAGAAUUAUUCAAAACUUUAUCCUUAGGUUCUGUGAUAACAGUAAAAGAAGAAACCUGGGUCUUGCUGUGCUUGGCAAAAUAUGUCACGAUGGCGGUGUGCUAUGAUUGUUUAUGGCUGUGUUUGUGCUAUUUAUUGCCCUCUAACUAGGAACACUGAAAAUGCAAGGGUCGUGACUGAAACAUGUAGCGGGGCUGUCAGGCAGCUUUUCCGUCAGCUUGGCAAGUGUUUUGUGUGUCAGCAUUGGUGGCUGAUAGCUGUAGGCAGAUGUUGCCUGGGUCGGUGUCACCCAGCUCUCUAGUGGGGAAACUGAGGCAGCAAGGUGAGGGGACGGGCAGAGGGAGUGCAGUGAGAGCUGGUGGCAGAGCCCUACCUGGUCCUAGAGCUCUCAGUCCAUAGAAACUGCUUUUUGCCUUCCUGGAGAUUUUUCUGUCUUCAUGGGACCCGUGGUUCCUGCGAGAGUCUGAGCACAGCCCCUGAGCUCUCUGCCUGUCCCCUCUGGUGGCACUUGGGGCACCCAGCUGUGGCUUGGCCCCGUUGUCUGUUCCUCACUCACUACCCCUAAGCGGAGUUUCCUCCUCCGGGCCCUUCCAUUCAAAGCCCCUGCGAUCGGUGUGCGUCUUCACUGGCUUGCGCCAAGUUUUGGCUCCAAGCCCUGUUCUACAUUCAGCGAAAGCCUGCGGAGCAGUACCGGUGCCAACAGGCUGCAUCAGCGUCUCAGCCCCGCUCUCUCCUCCCACUCCUUCCUACUCCUUUGCUACUUAUUCUACCUUCCCCGACCGUGCGCUUUCCCCUGCCUCCUCCGAAUCCCUCCUCCUCUUCUCCCCCCACUUCCCACCCUCACCCAACGAAGUCUUCGGUUCUUCCCGCUUGUAAUUUGUCGCUAAUCAGCUGUCAGUGUUGGAGCAAUGAUGAGAGGUUCAUCUCUUGCUGAGGGUAAUGGCCUUAAAAGUCACAGAGUCAAUGUCAAUGGGAUCGCUCCAAUUCAAUCAGAGACCUGAAUGAGAAAUGGCCCCCGCUGACAUUAGCACUCAUUUUGAGCCCAAGCAUCUGGGCCCUAGUAAAUAACCAUCAGUGGGUGGGUCCGGGGGACAGGUCAUUAGCCCCACGAAAAAUAAAUAUCGUUUCCCUUGAUGGCUGCGAGUAAUU
Molecule: long non-coding RNA, 1418 nt
Filed under: Anas platyrhynchos platyrhynchos (common mallard)
Lineage: Eukaryota; Metazoa; Chordata; Aves; Anseriformes; Anatidae
Description: lncRNA (ENSAPLG00000027266.1)
Source: RNAcentral